Molecule: ribosomal RNA, 385 nt
Filed under: Vibrio sp. S16(2010)
Lineage: Bacteria; Pseudomonadati; Pseudomonadota; Gammaproteobacteria; Vibrionales; Vibrionaceae
Description: bacterial SSU rRNA
Rfam family: Bacterial small subunit ribosomal RNA
Source: RNAcentral
GCUGGCGGCAGGCCUAACACAUGCAAGUCGAGCGGAAACGAGUUAUCUGAACCUUCGGGGAACGAUAACGGCGUCGAGCGGCGGACGGGUGAGUAAUGCCUAGGAAAUUGCCCUGAUGUGGGGGAUAACCAUUGGAAACGAUGGCUAAUACCGCAUGAUGCCUACGGGCCAAAGAGGGGGACCUUCGGGCCUCUCGCGUCAGGAUAUGCCUAGGUGGGAUUAGCUAGUUGGUGAGGUAAGGGCUCACCAAGGCGACGAUCCCUAGCUGGUCUGAGAGGAUGAUCAGCCACACUGGAACUGAACACGGUCCAGACUCCUACGGGAGGCAUCUUGGGGAAUAUUGCACAAUGGGCGCAAGCCUGAUGCAGCCAUGGCGGGGGUGUGA